GUGGGGAAUCUUGCGCAAUGGGCGAAAGCCUGACGCAGCCAUGCCGCGUGAAUGAUGAAGGUCUUAGGAUUGUAAAAUUCUUUCACCGGGGACGAUAAUGACGGUACCCGGAGAAGAAGCUCCGGCUAACUUCGUGCCAGCAGCCGCGGUAAUACGAAGGGGGCUAGCGUUGCUCGGAAUUACUGGGCGUAAAGGGCGCGUAGGCGGACAGCUUAGUCAGAGGUGAAAGCCCAGGGCUCAACCUUGGAAUUGCCUUUGAUACUGGCUGUCUUGAGUUUGGGAGAGGUGAGUGGAACUCCGAGUGUAGAGGUGAAAUUCGUAGAUAUUCGGAAGAACACCAGUGGCGAAGGCGACUCACUGGCCCAAUACUGACGCUGAGGCGCGAAAGCGUGGGGAGCAAACAGGAUUAGAUACCCCAGUAGUCC
RNAcentral lists this ribosomal RNA (425 nucleotides) under uncultured bacterium. Its description in RNAcentral is "bacterial SSU rRNA". It matches the Rfam family "Bacterial small subunit ribosomal RNA", at positions 354 to 796 of the family's 1533-position model. The record is from RNAcentral.